AUUGAACGCUGGCGGCAGGCUUAACACAUGCAAGUCGAGCGGUAACAGAGAGAAGCUUGCUUCUCUGCUGACGAGCGGCGGACGGGUGAGUAAUGCCUAGGAAUCUGCCUAGUAGUGGGGGAUAACCUGCCGAAAGGUAAGCUAAUACCGCAUACGUCCUACGGGAGAAAGGAGGGGACCUUCGGGCCUUUCGCUAUUAGAUGAGCCUAGGUCGGAUUAGUUAGUUGGUGAGGUAAUGGCUCACCAAGACCGCGAUCCGUAACUGGUCUGAGAGGAUGAUCAGUCAAACUGGAGCUGAGACACGGUCCAGACUCCUACGGGAGGCAGCAGUGGGGAAUAUUGGACAAUGGGGGGAACCCUGAUCCAGCCAUGCCGCGUGUGUGAAGAAGGUCUUAGGAUUGUAAAGCACUUUAAGUUGUGAGGAAGAGCAGUUAACUAAUAUUUGACUGUUUUGACGUUACCGACAGAAUAAGCACCGGCUAACUUCGUGCCAGCCGCCGCCGUAA
Molecule: ribosomal RNA, 506 nt
Filed under: uncultured bacterium
Lineage: Bacteria
Description: partial 16S ribosomal RNA
Rfam family: Bacterial small subunit ribosomal RNA
Source: RNAcentral